GUGGUUGUAGUUCAGUUGGUAGAGCGCCAGUUUGUGGUACUGGUUGUCGCGGGUUCAAGUCCCGUCAGCCACCCCA
This 76-nucleotide transfer RNA is filed under the name Psychrilyobacter atlanticus. It matches the Rfam family "tRNA". From Rfam's summary of the family: Transfer RNA (tRNA) molecules are approximately 80 nucleotides in length. RNAcentral also lists the same sequence under 4 other names. Lineage: Bacteria; Fusobacteriati; Fusobacteriota; Fusobacteriia; Fusobacteriales; Fusobacteriaceae. The record is from RNAcentral.